This 344-nucleotide ribosomal RNA is filed under the name Staphylococcus epidermidis NIH05003. Its description in RNAcentral is "bacterial SSU rRNA". It matches the Rfam family "Bacterial small subunit ribosomal RNA", at positions 1 to 332 of the family's 1533-position model. Lineage: Bacteria; Bacillati; Bacillota; Bacilli; Caryophanales; Staphylococcaceae. The record is from RNAcentral.
UUUUUAUGGAGAGUUUGAUCCUGGCUCAGGAUGAACGCUGGCGGCGUGCCUAAUACAUGCAAGUCGAGCGAACAGACGAGGAGCUUGCUCCUCUGACGUUAGCGGCGGACGGGUGAGUAACACGUGGAUAACCUACCUAUAAGACUGGGAUAACUUCGGGAAACCGGAGCUAAUACCGGAUAAUAUAUUGAACCGCAUGGUUCAAUAGUGAAAGACGGUUUUGCUGUCACUUAUAGAUGGAUCCGCGCCGCAUUAGCUAGUUGGUAAGGUAACGGCUUACCAAGGCAACGAUGCGUAGCCGACCUGAGAGGGUGAUCGGCCACACUGGAACUGAGACACGGUCC